CGCUCCGUUAAAAAGGCGCAACACAGGACUGAAGAAAAACAUCGAAGUUGACUCGGGGUAGAAAUUCAAGCAAACUCAAUCUUUAUCACCCUUUAUUUCCCCCUCCCAGUGAUAUUUAAAGCCGCCAACCAUGCCAACGGUGCUUUUGGUGGACGUGUCUCUGUCAAUGAGUCGUGGAGAGGAGGAGGAUGAGGAAAAAGAAGGCGGAGAAGAGGGACCAUUACUUCGCAGGGACUUGGCGGCUCAUGGGUGUAAUAUUAUCCUCGACCACUUCAUCCAGCACUGCAAGCUUGAGUUCGUGUCCCUGAUCGUCUUCUCGUCAACGUACAAAGUGCUGAUGCCGUUCACGAGGGACUUUGAGGCAAUCAAGAACGCCCUCACCCUUGCUGACGAAUGUGAUCGCACCAACCUGGAGGUGGGACUUGUUGGCGCGGCUCAGCACAUCCUGGAGGAGUGGGGCAACGGAACACCCUGCCAGAUUGUUUUGGUGACUGAUGGCAAUGCUGGCACCGGGCAGCACCACCUCCAGAAGACCUUGAUGGCCUCACACUCCCGUGGGGCCUCACAGUUCCCUCUCCCAUUCCCCUUCCCUGCCAAACUCAACAUAAUCUGCAUAGCAAACCCUGAUGAACCGUGCCUGCAGACAUCUCGACCUAUCUACCAAAGGCUGAUUGAGCUGAAUGGCGAGGGAGACAUUAUGAUCCCUGAAGGCAAGCUUUCCAGAAAGUCAGUGACGGAGAUAUUCGAGCAAGUCAUCAAGAAUAACUUCUCCUCCUACUCCGGCGUGCUUCACUGUGGCAACCUCUCAGCCCCUAUCACUCUCUCUCCACCCCCACAGCCUUACUGCCGCCACCAUGACUUUGAGGUGAUACGCAUUAGUGUGGACACAGCCAUUCAUGUCCUGGGCUUCCUCAACACUGGAGAUGUGUCCUCCCCACCGGCCUUCUCCAGACACUUGGUGCUACCUCUCUCAGCAAAAGGUGACUUGGUAAUGCUGCCCAAGAGUGACCCAGGGAGUGACGAGGAGGGUGGUGGUGGAGGUGGUGGUGCGGGUACCGGAGGCAGCGAUGAGGGCAAGGUACCCUCAUUCUGUGUCCUGCUCCAUGGUGGGCUGAAGCGUGAGAACAUGGUGGCGUUGUGUCAGGUGGGGGAGAAGUGGUUCGGGAUCUUAUACUCCUGGGCAGACAACAAAAAGAAAUCCAACUUAAUGCUCUCCCUCUUUGUGCCUGGCACAGAUGUCAUACCAUGGAUGGGCCAGCUGUCAAACCUUGGGCCAGCCUCCCAGAUGUCUGUUAACCCCUAUGGCUCUGCAGAUAACUCUUCUCCAUUCCCCAUCAAGGUUCAUGAGAAGAAAAGCUACGCCCUCAACUCUGUGGUGUGGGUGCGGCAGGGAGGGUUGCAGUCAGACAUCCAGAAGAUACUGAGACAUGCCCGCAAGCUGCCAGACAAGACCCAGAGCUUCUAUAAGGAGCUGAACCGUGUGCGCCGUGCUGCCCUCUCCUAUGGGUUUGGGGAGCUUCUGGAGGGCCUGGCCAGCGUGUUGGAGCGGGAGUGUACGCUGCUGCCCUCCUCGGCCCACCCUGAGGCAGCCAUACAGCUGCAGCACGCCUACGAGGCUUUGCGCAACCACGACAAGAAGGACACACGCCAGAACAUUGUGCCCCUCAAGACCACCUACUCCGGGAAUGACUGAUAUUUGCAGGAGUCUGGCCAACCUUUAGUAUGUGAUAAUGAAGCCUUAGCAAGACAGUGGCCAAAAGGUUUCGGUCACCCAUCACAUCUUCAGCUUCCUUUGCAUUCAGGAGCAAGAGAACCUGAAAGCAACAAAACAGCAUUCAUUAGAGUACUCAGUGGUAGUACUAGUGCCCAGUCAAGCACAAAACAAUGUUGACAGGGUUAGAUAGGUACUGUUGUACGGCGAACACACAUAAUAAUUAGCACUGUGCAUCUGGAAAACAAGGCCACACAGUUUGCACUAAGGAUGGUGGGUCAUACUGACCGAUGAAGGAUCAGGCAAAGCAGUACAAACUAAUUCAUAUCAUUUAAGUGACUACAAAACUUGUCAAGUUCUGUCCAAACUUAGCUCA
RNA transcript from Eriocheir sinensis (Chinese mitten crab), 2087 nucleotides. It is a transcript of the gene named integrator complex subunit 14-like, with no coding region annotated. The record is from RefSeq and is a predicted model, not a curated record. The transcript has 13 exons. Lineage: Eukaryota; Metazoa; Arthropoda; Malacostraca; Decapoda; Varunidae.